This 76-nucleotide transfer RNA is filed under the name Bacteroidota bacterium. RNAcentral describes it as "Bacteroidetes bacterium tRNA-Gly". It matches the Rfam family "tRNA". Rfam says of the family: Transfer RNA (tRNA) molecules are approximately 80 nucleotides in length. RNAcentral also lists the same sequence under 2 other names. Lineage: Bacteria; Pseudomonadati; Bacteroidota. The record is from RNAcentral.
GCGGAAGUAGCUCAGUUGGUAGAGCAUCAGCCUUCCAAGCUGAAUGUCGCGAGUUCGAACCUCGUCUUCCGCUCGA